This 67-nucleotide microRNA precursor is filed under the name Drosophila virilis. RNAcentral describes it as "microRNA dvi-mir-9713 precursor". Lineage: Eukaryota; Metazoa; Arthropoda; Insecta; Diptera; Drosophilidae. The record is from miRBase by way of RNAcentral.
ACUUACUUGUUCAACAAUGCGAGGAUUGUAUGGAAAUUAUAAUCGCAUGCUGAUCAAGUGUGUCAUA